RNAcentral lists this ribosomal RNA (306 nucleotides) under Clostridium saccharobutylicum. RNAcentral describes it as "partial 16S ribosomal RNA". It matches the Rfam family "Bacterial small subunit ribosomal RNA", at positions 1 to 306 of the family's 1533-position model. The record is from RNAcentral. Lineage: Bacteria; Bacillati; Bacillota; Clostridia; Eubacteriales; Clostridiaceae.
UUUAUUGAGAGUUUGAUCCUGGCUCAGGACGAACGCUGGCGGCGUGCUUAACACAUGCAAGUCGAGCGAUGAAGCUUCUUCGGAAGUGGAUUAGCGGCGGACGGGUGAGUAACACGUGGGUAACCUGCCUCAUAGAGGGGAAUAGCCUUCCGAAAGGAAGAUUAAUACCGCAUAAGAUUGUAAUAUCGCAUGAUAUAGCAAUUAAAGGAGCAAUCCGCUAUGAGAUGGACCCGCGUCGCAUUAGCUAGUUGGUGAGGUAACGGCUCACCAAGGCGACGAUGCGUAGCCGACCUGAGAGGGUGAUCG